RNAcentral lists this long non-coding RNA (268 nucleotides) under Mus pahari (shrew mouse). RNAcentral's name for it is "lncRNA (MGP_PahariEiJ_G0006502.1)". Lineage: Eukaryota; Metazoa; Chordata; Mammalia; Rodentia; Muridae. The record is from RNAcentral.
AGCACCAAAGAGAUGCGAGCCAAUGGGAAAUUGUGUGCAGCCUCCAGGAGCAGAAUCAAAGCUAUAUAUCCCAGUGUGGCCUGAAUUGAGGUCUCCAGAAGCAUAAAGGAACUCCUCAGUCUGCUGAGGAUGAAAAUGUGAAGAUUCUGUUACUUUACACUAACAUUUGUUGAGCUUGUACUGAGAUCAGUCACAAAACGUUUCUCAUGACGUUCCCUAGCUUUCACUUUGUUGUUUUGUUCCAAUAAAAAUGGCUUACAUAUUGUCA